ACAGAUAUAUUAAUAUUUUUUUUCGAUAAAGGGAAUAUAUUAACAGAUAUACGCACUAUAUUAAUUAUAGUUAGCAUUAUUAACCGUACUAUGAUAUUUGUUACGCAAAAUCUAAUUCUUGCUGGGGCACUGCGUUGUCUUAGACAGUGCUCACAUGUCCCAUGCGUUGGAUCGCGAUCGAGCGGCGUGCGUGAAGCGGCGCUACCUGACGAAAUAACGAGAAGAUUUUUCCUCCCCGCAUCCUGUUCGUAUCCCCUCUGUCUCUCUCUGUUCCAUUCCCCUUCUCCCUCUCCCCCGCAAGCUCCGCUCGAUCUCCAGCGCCGUCGAGUGGCCCGACGGGGGCGAAGCCCCGGCGAGUAGCGCUGGAGGAGUUUCAACGGCGCCUGAAGCUUCCUGGGAGUGGGUCGCCGUGGACUGAGGCUCCUUCGGUAGAGCACGCCGCAAAUCAAAGAGACUCGGGCUUGGCGGACGUCGUGAAGCGAUUUGGUGACGAAACCCGGUGUAGCGGCUCUGCGAAUCGACGACUCUGAGGUGGAGGCGGCCGCUGCCUGAGGUUCUGGAGUGCUCAUUUGUUUAAGACGCAGAUUGUUUCAACGAAACCACUGGUCCAUAUAUGUUUCAUGGGCAGCAGAGUUCCAAGAUGUGUAGAUGUCAAGAAGAUUUGACAGUUGUUCAUACAGUCUUGGAGACAAUUGUACAUCCUGUUCUACUUUCCAGGUUAUUUUGUCCAAUGCAGAUUUACAUGACCAAGUUGGAACGAGUACUGGUGGCAUGUCAUUUUCUUGGGUGUUCUGAUGCUUAAGUUAGUUGUUCUGGAGCACAAUUCAUGUUUGCUAGCCUAUGGUUCUAAUUAAAUCUACAAAUUAGUGUUAAAACUGAUGCCUUUUGGUUACUACUAAAUGCAGAAUAAUGCACAUAUUCAGUCUUAAAGAAGCAUGUUUUUCUGGUUGUUCAUGUGAUUGGUUUUCUUCACUUUUUUACAUGCAUGCCAGAUGAUUGUCUGCAAUGGGGUAGCAGAUCGUGAUGCAUCACCCUAAUCUGGGUUGCAAAACUACUUUACCCCUGCCCUAUUCUACAUAUAAAAAUCAGAUCUGGGGUUGCAAGGAAGAUUGAUUGACUGUAACUUUCUUGCCUUUUCUUUGUUGAUUUUUCCACUGCCCCUGACGUAGAUCUUGCUCCGCCCUUCUUUUCUCCUUAUUUUUGGUUCAAGAUAUUUCCUGCAAUUUAUGUGCUACGAGCUCUCCCAUCCAUGGAGUUCUGGUUUCAAUGGAGGAAGGAGGAACAAAGGGGAACGGAGGAAGAAGGGGUAGCAGGCGGUAGGUUUUUGGAUGUAGCUUUUGUCAUGCCUGUUUGACCCAGCUGUCAAUCGGGAGAUGGUUGUCCCGGCCCACCUUCGCGAAAGCGUGGGAACGAACGGGGAAAAGGUGGUCCUGCAAUGUUUCUUUUUUGGGUUGAUGUCGCUAUCA
This is a long non-coding RNA of Lolium perenne, 1466 nucleotides long. RefSeq lists it as uncharacterized. NCBI's taxonomy places the organism in Eukaryota, Viridiplantae, Streptophyta, Magnoliopsida, Poales, Poaceae. The record is from RefSeq and is a predicted model, not a curated record.